RNAcentral lists this ribosomal RNA (1514 nucleotides) under Phocaeicola vulgatus str. 3975 RP4. RNAcentral describes it as "bacterial SSU rRNA". It matches the Rfam family "Bacterial small subunit ribosomal RNA". Lineage: Bacteria; Pseudomonadati; Bacteroidota; Bacteroidia; Bacteroidales; Bacteroidaceae. The record is from RNAcentral.
GAGUUUGAUCCUGGCUCAGGAUGAACGCUAGCUACAGGCUUAACACAUGCAAGUCGAGGGGCAGCAUGGUCUUAGCUUGCUAAGGCCGAUGGCGACCGGCGCACGGGUGAGUAACACGUAUCCAACCUGCCGUCUACUCUUGGACAGCCUUCUGAAAGGAAGAUUAAUACAAGAUGGCAUCAUGAGUCCGCAUGUUCACAUGAUUAAAGGUAUUCCGGUAGACGAUGGGGAUGCGUUCCAUUAGAUAGUAGGCGGGGUAACGGCCCACCUAGUCUUCGAUGGGUAGGGGUUCUGAGAGGAAGGUCCCCCACAUUGGAACUGAGACACGGUCCAAACUCCUACGGGAGGCAGCAGUGAGGAAUAUUGGUCAAUGGGCGAGAGCCUGAACCAGCCAAGUAGCGUGAAGGAUGACUGCCCUAUGGGUUGUAAACUUCUUUUAUAAAGGAAUAAAGUCGGGUAUGGAUACCCGUUUGCAUGUACUUUAUGAAUAAGGAUCGGCUAACUCCGUGCCAGCAGCCGCGGUAAUACGGAGGAUCCGAGCGUUAUCCGGAUUUAUUGGGUUUAAAGGGAGCGUAGAUGGAUGUUUAAGUCAGUUGUGAAAGUUUGCGGCUCAACCGUAAAAUUGCAGUUGAUACUGGAUAUCUUGAGUGCAGUUGAGGCAGGCGGAAUUCGUGGUGUAGCGGUGAAAUGCUUAGAUAUCACGAAGAACUCCGAUUGCGAAGGCAGCCUGCUAAGCUGCAACUGACAUUGAGGCUCGAAAGUGUGGGUAUCAAACAGGAUUAGAUACCCUGGUAGUCCACACGGUAAACGAUGAAUACUCGCUGUUUGCGAUAUACAGCAAGCGGCCAAGCGAAAGCGUUAAGUAUUCCACCUGGGGAGUACGCCGGCAACGGUGAAACUCAAAGGAAUUGACGGGGGCCCGCACAAGCGGAGGAACAUGUGGUUUAAUUCGAUGAUACGCGAGGAACCUUACCCGGGCUUAAAUUGCAGAUGAAUUACGGUGAAAGCCGUAAGCCGCAAGGCAUCUGUGAAGGUGCUGCAUGGUUGUCGUCAGCUCGUGCCGUGAGGUGUCGGCUUAAGUGCCAUAACGAGCGCAACCCUUGUUGUCAGUUACUAACAGGUCAUGCUGAGGACUCUGACAAGACUGCCAUCGUAAGAUGUGAGGAAGGUGGGGAUGACGUCAAAUCAGCACGGCCCUUACGUCCGGGGCUACACACGUGUUACAAUGGGGGGUACAGAGGGCCGCUACCACGCGAGUGGAUGCCAAUCCCCAAAACCUCUCUCAGUUCGGACUGGAGUCUGCAACCCGACUCCACGAAGCUGGAUUCGCUAGUAAUCGCGCAUCAGCCACGGCGCGGUGAAUACGUUCCCGGGCCUUGUACACACCGCCCGUCAAGCCAUGGGAGCCGGGGGUACCUGAAGUGCGUAACCGCGAGGAGCGCCCUAGGGUAAAACUGGUGACUGGGGCUAAGUCGUAACAAGGUAGCCGUACCGGAAGGUGCGGCUGGAACACC